This 301-nucleotide ribosomal RNA is filed under the name uncultured bacterium. RNAcentral's name for it is "partial 16S ribosomal RNA". It matches the Rfam family "Bacterial small subunit ribosomal RNA", at positions 509 to 807 of the family's 1533-position model. The record is from RNAcentral.
CAGUCGCCGCGGUAAUACGAAGGGUGCAAGCGUUAAUCGGAAUUACUGGGCGUAAAGCGUGCGUAGGCGGUGAGUUAAGUCUGCUGUGAAAUCCCCGGGCUCAACCUGGGAACUGCAUUUGUGACUGGCAGGCUAGAGUAUGGCAGAGGGGGGUGGAAUUCCGCGUGUAGCAGUGAAAUGCGUAGAUAUGCGGAGGAACACCGAUGGCGAAGGCAGCCCCCUGGGCCAAUACUGACGCUCAUGCACGAAAGCGUGGGGAGCAAACAGGACUAGAUACCCCUGUAGUCCCUGUCUCUUAUAC